RNAcentral lists this unclassified non-coding RNA (17 nucleotides) under Mus musculus (house mouse). Its description in RNAcentral is "oocyte_clustered_small_RNA8922". The record is from RNAcentral. Lineage: Eukaryota; Metazoa; Chordata; Mammalia; Rodentia; Muridae.
UUUCUUCAGCCAAGUAG